GGAGGCAUAGCUCAGUGGUAGAGCAUCUGCUUUGCAUGCAGAAGGUUCAAUCUCUGGUGUCUCCA
Molecule: non-coding RNA, 65 nt
Organism: Podarcis lilfordi (Lilford's wall lizard)
Lineage: Eukaryota; Metazoa; Chordata; Lepidosauria; Squamata; Lacertidae
Source: the annotation of a GenBank genome assembly